This 253-nucleotide ribosomal RNA is filed under the name uncultured bacterium. RNAcentral describes it as "partial 16S ribosomal RNA". It matches the Rfam family "Bacterial small subunit ribosomal RNA", at positions 524 to 776 of the family's 1533-position model. The record is from RNAcentral.
UACGUAGGGACCAAGCGUUGUUCGGAUUUACUGGGCGUAAAGGGCGCGUAGGCGGCAAUUCAAGUCAGUUGUGAAAUCUCCGAGCUUAACUCGGAACGGUCAACUGGUACUGUGCGACUAGAGUGCGGAAGGGGCAACUGGAAUUCUCGGUGUAGCGGUGAAAUGCGUAGAUAUCGAGAGGAACACCUGCGGCGAAGGCGGGUUGCUGGGCCGACACUGACGCUGAUGCGCGAAAGCCAGGGGAGCGAACGGG